CUAAGAACUAAUUUGCCUGAUUUUACAGAUGAGGAAACUAAGACUCAAGAGAAGACAAAUCUUGCCCAAGGUCCUAGAGCUAGUGUAUAAUAGAAUCAGGAUUUGAAUCUAGUUCUACAUUCUAUGAAAGCUUGUAACCUUCACACUACAUCACAAUUUCCUCCUUUUAAAGCAGAGCUGUGGUUUCCUUGUAGGGUAGGGGCAACUGUUCUCUAUCUCACUGAAGAUGUUUGUUCCUUGAAGACUUCAGAACAGAUGUGCUCAACCAUUUGAAAAGUUGGGACCCCACUAAAGCCUUAAUUGCAAAGAUGUCUUAAAACACGUGCAUGGUUUGAAUGCAUGUGUCCCUCCAAAAUUCAUAUGUUGGAACUUAAACCCCAAAGUAGUGGUAUUAAGAGGUGGGGCCUGUUGGGCCCAAUUAAGUCAUAAGAGUUCUGUACUCAUGAAUAGGACAGUGUCCUUAUAAAGAUGGCCUCAGAUAGCUGCCUGGCCCUUCCACUUCUCUUCUGCCAUAUGAGGACACAGCAGUUGUCCCUGUUUGCCCUUCCAUCCUUUCUCUCUUGUGAUUGCAGUGAGAAGGUGUCAUCUUGGAAGCAGAGAGAAAGCCUUUACCAGACACCAAGUCUGCUGGCACUUUGAUCUUGGACUUCCAGCCUCCAGAAGUGUGAGACGUAAAUUUCUAUUAUUUAUAAAUUACUCAGUCUAAGAUAUUUUGUUAUUGCAGCAGGAACAGGCUGUACUUUCUUGAUGGUGAGAACAAGUCUAGCCCUUUUCCCCUCUCAGUUCCUCCAGCCCCUGCAGCAGGUGUAGCAGGAACAUAUUCCUUGCAUGCUGAGGUUGGAGAGGCACUGCUUAGGUCACCUCUGAAUUGCUCAGCACAGGCUUGGCUCAGCUAGAUACUCAACAAUCUUCCUAUUUUUUUUUUGAAAAUGCAUUUUUUUUUCUUGCAUGCACUAACACAGAAAUAAGAGUCAUGUCUAACAAAUAAACUUCUGUCAAAUUUUGGCAUCCCUUUUCAGUUUUUUCUCAGUUCCACUUUUUUGCAUCAUUGUGAUUCCAGCUAAGCAAAUUCUUAGAUCUGUAUUCCCACCCAGCUGGAAACUACAGCUAUUUUUCCAUUUUUAAAAAUGCUCAGAAAGCAGUCUGUCGAGUUGGUGUAACAAUUAACUCCCCUAAUUUGAGAACUUUGGCUUUUCCAGUGUUAUGAAAUUUAUUCUAUUCCCAUUCACAGAGCAAAUAUUUACAAUAAAGGUUUCCAUCUGCUGGCAAAGAUGUAGUGAAAUAUGUACACGCUAUCAUUGUAAUGUAAACAGAAAGAUCCAGUUUGGUAAAUAUUUCGUGAUGUGUUCCUGGGGUCACAAAAUGUUCCAAG
Molecule: long non-coding RNA, 1372 nt
Filed under: Homo sapiens (human)
Lineage: Eukaryota; Metazoa; Chordata; Mammalia; Primates; Hominidae
Description: HSALNT0266442
Source: RNAcentral